Molecule: long non-coding RNA, 946 nt
Filed under: Homo sapiens (human)
Lineage: Eukaryota; Metazoa; Chordata; Mammalia; Primates; Hominidae
Description: non-protein coding lnc-DEFB115-5:3
Source: RNAcentral
GGGCAUUCACCGUUUGGGUGAAGACGGAGGCGGGUUCUGGACAGACGUAGGCUGUCAGGGAGUGUUUACUUCGCCUCCACUUCUGUUCCUCCCUGCCCUGGUGCUGCUCCAGGUCACAUACUCGUCCUGAGCCGGCUUCAGCCUGUCCGCGCAGAAGUCUCCCGGAGCCAUGGCCUAGUACUCUUAUGUGAAGUCUAGCAAGCUCGUGCUCAAGGGAACCGAGUAAGAAGAAAAAGAGCAAAGAUAAGAAGAGAAAAAGAGAAGAUGAAGAAACCCAGCUUGAUACGUUGGAAUCUGGUGAACAGUAACAAACUUUGGUGAAAUUUCAGGAACCAUAGCCAUUGAAAUGGAUGAGGGAACCUAUAUACAUGCACUCGACAAUGGUCUUUUUACCCUGGGAGCUCCACACAAAGAAGAAUCGCCCUGAAAUCUGGCUAUGGAAAAUAUCUUGGUAUAAAUUCAGAUGAACUUGUUGGGCAUUCAGAUGCAAUUGGACCAAGAGAACAAUGGGAACCAGUCUUUCAAAAUGGGAAAAUGGCUUUGUUGGCCUCAAAUAGCUGCUUUAUUAGAUGCAAUGAAGCAGGGGACAUAGAAGCAAAAAGUAAAACAGCAGGAGAAGAAGAAAUGAUCAAGAUUAGAUCCUGUGCUGAAAAAGAAACCAAGAAAAAAGAUGACAUUCCAGAAGAAGACAAAGGAAAUGUAAAACAAUGUGAAAUCAAUUAUGUAAAGAAAUUUCAGAGCUUCCAAGACCACAAACUUAAAAUAAGUAAAGAAGAGAGUAAAAUUCUUAAAAAGGCUCAGAAAGAUGGAUUUUUGCAUGAGACGCUUCUGGACAGAGAACCAAAUUGAAAGCCGACAGAUACUGCAAAUGACUGGAAUUUUUGUUUCUGCCUUAUCUUUUUGUGUUUUUUUUUUCUGAAUAAAAUAUUCAGAGGAAAUGCUUUUA